GACGAACGCUGGCGGCGUGCUUAACACAUGCAAGUCGAGCGGUAAGGCCCUUUCGGGGUACGACGAGCGGCGAACGGGUGAGUAACACGUGGGUGACCUGCCCUCCAGCUCUGGGAGUAAGCCUCGGGAAACCGGGUACUAAUACUGGAUAUGACUCCAUGACGCAUGUUGUGGGGUGGAAAGCCUUGUGCGGCUGAGGAUGGGCCCGGCCGGCCUAUCAGCUUGUUGGGUGGGGUGGAGGCCUACCAAGGCGACGACGGGUAGCCGGCCUGAGAGGGCGACCGGCCACACUGGGACUGAGACACGGCCCAGACUCCUACGGGAGGCAGCAGUGGGGAAUCUUGCGCAAGUGGGCGAAAGCCUGACGCAGCGACGCCGCGU
RNAcentral lists this ribosomal RNA (381 nucleotides) under uncultured bacterium. Its description in RNAcentral is "bacterial SSU rRNA". It matches the Rfam family "Bacterial small subunit ribosomal RNA", at positions 28 to 402 of the family's 1533-position model. The record is from RNAcentral.